GAUGAACGCUGACAGAAUGCUUAACACACGCAAGUCGAUUCGAUUUACCUUCGGGUAUUGAGGAUGGCGGACGGGUGAGUAACGCGUAAGGAACUUGCCUCUUGGUCUGGGACAACUGUUGGAAACGACAGCUAAUACCGGAUAUUAUGAGAUUCUCGCAUGGGAAACUUAUGAAAGCUAUAUGCGCCAAGAGAGAGCCUUGCGUUCCAUUAGCUAGUUGGUGGGGUAACGGCCCACCAAGGCGACGAUGGAUAGCCGGCCUGAGAGGGUGAACGGCCACAAGGGGACUGAGACACGGCCCUUACUCCUACGGGAGGCAGCAGUGGGGAAUAUUGGACAAUGGGCCACAAGCCUGAUCCAGCAAUUCUGUGUGCACGAUGAAGGUCUUCGGAUUGUAAAGUGCUUUCAGUUGGGAAGAAGAAAGUGACGGUACCAACAGAAGAAGCGACGGCUAAAUACGUGCCAGCAGCCGCGGUAAUACGUAUGUCGCAAGCGUUAUCCGGAUUUAUUGGGCGUAAAGCGCGUCUAGGCGGAAAAAUAAGUCUGAUGUUAAAAUGCGGGGCUCAACUCCGUAUUGCGUUGGAAACUGUUUUUCUAGAGUACUGGAGAGGUGGGCGGAACUACAAGUGUAGAGGUGAAAUUCGUAGAUAUUUGUAGGAAUGCCGAUGGAGAAGUCAGCUCACUGGACAGAUACUGACGCUAAAGCGCGAAAGCGUGGGGAGCAAACAGGAUUAGAUACCCUGGUAGUCCNC
Molecule: ribosomal RNA, 752 nt
Filed under: uncultured prokaryote
Description: bacterial SSU rRNA
Rfam family: Bacterial small subunit ribosomal RNA
Source: RNAcentral